This 221-nucleotide microRNA precursor is filed under the name Arabidopsis halleri subsp. gemmifera. Its description in RNAcentral is "pre miRNA MIR854". It matches the Rfam family "MIR854 microRNA precursor family". Lineage: Eukaryota; Viridiplantae; Streptophyta; Magnoliopsida; Brassicales; Brassicaceae. The record is from RNAcentral.
UGGAGUAGGACUGGGAAGAGCAGUAUGAUACAAGUAUGUAUCAUUCCAGUGAGCAUGUAGCUCCAGUGAGAGAGAGCAAGAGCUUGAGUGAAGCUCACAGAAACCAAAGCCUGUUGCAGAAGUGGUGCAAGAAGCAGGAUAAGUUCAUCACCAAGUGCCUGAAGAGUAUCAAGUCUCUAAAGGCCAUGGUUAGCUGCUCCUCUUCCAGCACAACAAUGCCA